Molecule: small nuclear RNA, 241 nt
Filed under: Coniosporium apollinis CBS 100218
Lineage: Eukaryota; Fungi; Ascomycota; Dothideomycetes
Description: U2 spliceosomal RNA
Rfam family: U2 spliceosomal RNA
About the family: U2 is a small nuclear RNA (snRNA) component of the spliceosome (involved in pre-mRNA splicing).
Source: Rfam by way of RNAcentral
AUGACAGUUGCCUUUUGGCUUAGAUCAAGUGUAGUAUCUGUUGUGAGUACCCCUGCCUUCAGAUUAAUACGAACAAUGCUAACCUCGUUCCAGCUUUUCAGUUUAAUCUCUGAAACGAGUCUACGGACUCAUUUAUUGAUUAUACUUAUUUUUGCAACUCGGAAGACGGCCUCUGCGCUUGCGUACGUCGCCUUCCACCGUGUCGCUGGUAUUGCACUGCCUCCAGCUGACGCGAAUACCU